CAUGAUUUACAUUUGAGUGAGUGGCGAACUGGUGAGUAACACGUGGGAAACCUGCCCAGAAGCGGGGGAUAACACCUGGAAACAGAUGCUAAUACCGCAUAACAACUUGGACCGCAUGGUCCGAGUUUGAAAGAUGGCUUCGGCUAUCACUUUUGGAUGGUCCCGCGGCGUAUUAGCUAGAUGGUGAGGUAACGGCUCACCAUGGCAAUGAUACGUAGCCGACCUGAGAGGGUAAUCGGCCACAUUGGGACUGAGACACGGCCCAAACUCCUACGGGAGGCAGCAGUAGGGAAUCUUCCACAAUGGACGAAAGUCUGAUGGAGCAACGCCGCGUGAGUGAAGAAGGGUUUCGGCUCGUAAAACUCUGUUGUUAAAGAAGAACAUAUCUGAGAGUAACUGUUCAGGUAUUGACGGUAUUUAACCAGAAAGCCACGGCUAACUACGUGCCAGCAGCCGCGGUAAUACGUAGGUGGCAAGCGUUGUCCGGAUUUAUUGGGCGUAAAGCGAGCGCAGGCGGUUUUUUAAGUCUGAUGUGAAAGCCUUCGGCUCAACCGAAGAAGUGCAUCGGAAACUGGGAAACUUGAGUGCAGAAGAGGACAGUGGAACUCCAUGUGUAGCGGUGAAAUGCGUAGAUAUAUGGAAGAACACCAGUGGCGAAGGCGGCUGUCUGGUCUGUAACUGACGCUGAGGCUCGAAAGUAUGGGUAGCAAACAGGAUUAGAUACCCUGGUAGUCCAUACCGUAAACGAUGAAUGCUAAGUGUUGGAGGGUUUCCGCCCUUCAGUGCUGCAGCUAACGCAUUAAGCAUUCCGCCUGGGGAGUACGGCCGCAAGGCUGAAACUCAAAGGAAUUGACGGGGGCCCGCACAAGCGGUGGAGCAUGUGGUUUAAUUCGAAGCUACGCGAAGAACCUUACCAGGUCUUGACAUACUAUGCAAAUCUAAGAGAUUAGACGUUCCCUUCGGGGACAUGGAUACAGGUGGUGCAUGGUUGUCGUCAGCUCGUGUCGUGAGAUGUUGGGUUAAGUCCCGCAACGAGCGCAACCCUUAUUAUCAGUUGCCAGCAUUAAGUUGGGCACUCUGGUGAGACUGCCGGUGACAAACCGGAGGAAGGUGGGGAUGACGUCAAAUCAUCAUGCCCCUUAUGACCUGGGCUACACACGUGCUACAAUGGAUGGUACAACGAGUUGCGAACUCGCGAGAGUAAGCUAAUCUCUUAAAGCCAUUCUCAGUUCGGAUUGUAGGCUGCAACUCGCCUACAUGAAGUCGGAAUCGCUAGUAAUCGCGGAUCAGCAUGCCGCGGUGAAUACGUUCCCGGGCCUUGUACACACCGCCCGUCACACCAUGAGAGUUUGUAACACCCAAAGUCGGUGG
Molecule: ribosomal RNA, 1371 nt
Filed under: Lactiplantibacillus plantarum
Lineage: Bacteria; Bacillati; Bacillota; Bacilli; Lactobacillales; Lactobacillaceae
Description: bacterial SSU rRNA
Rfam family: Bacterial small subunit ribosomal RNA
Source: RNAcentral